CUGCGCCACAAGUGGCAAUCAUUUUUAUUUGGCCUAAAGCGUCCGUAGCUGGUUAAGUAAAUCUCUUGUGAAAUCGUUGGGCUUAACCCAACGGCGUGCAGGAGAGACUGCUUGGCUAGAGACCGGGAGGAGUCAGAGGUAUGCUGGGGGGAGCGGUAAAAUGCUAUAAUCCUCGGUAGACCACCUGUGGCGAAGGCGUCUGACUAGAACGGGUCUGACAGUGAGGGACGAAAGCCAGGGGAGCAAACCGGAUUAGAUACCCGAGUAGUCC
Molecule: ribosomal RNA, 271 nt
Filed under: uncultured archaeon
Lineage: Archaea
Description: partial 16S ribosomal RNA
Rfam family: Archaeal small subunit ribosomal RNA
Source: RNAcentral